UUGAACGCUGGCGGCAGGCCUAACACAUGCAAGUCGAGCGGAUGAAGGGAGCUUGCUCCCUGAUUCAGCGGCGGACGGGUGAGUAAUGCCUAGGAAUCUGCCUGGUAGUGGGGGACAACGUUCCGAAAGGAGCGCUAAUACCGCAUACGUCCUACGGGAAGAAAGUGGGGGAUCUUCGGACCUCACGCUAUCAGAUGAGCCUAGGUCGGAUUAGCUAGUAGGUGGGGUAAUGGCUCACCUAGGCGACGAUCCGUAACUGGUCUGAGAGGAUGAUCAGUCACACUGGAACUGAGACACGGUCCAGACUCCUACGGGAAGGCAAGCAGUGGGGAAUAUUUGGACAAUGGGCGAAAGCCUGAUCCAAUCCAUGCCCCGUGUUGUUAAGAAGGUCUUCGGAUUGUAAAGCACUUUAAGUUGGGAAGAAGGGCAUAAGUUAAUACCUUGCUGUUUUUACCUUC
This 458-nucleotide ribosomal RNA is filed under the name Pseudomonas citronellolis. Its description in RNAcentral is "bacterial SSU rRNA". It matches the Rfam family "Bacterial small subunit ribosomal RNA", at positions 30 to 482 of the family's 1533-position model. Lineage: Bacteria; Pseudomonadati; Pseudomonadota; Gammaproteobacteria; Pseudomonadales; Pseudomonadaceae. The record is from RNAcentral.